GAAUCCCGUCCUUGACAUGGACUACCAGUGCUUUGUGAUAUGUUUUCAACGAGUCGAGUUGUUUGGGAAUGCAGCUCAAAAUGGGUGGUAAAUUCCAUCUAAAGCUAAAUAUUGGCGAGAGACCGAUAGCGAACAAGUACCGUGAGGGAAAGAUGAAAAGCACUUUGGAAAGAGAGUGAAACAGUACGUGAAAUUGUUGAAAGGGAAACGCUUGAAGUCAGUCGCGUCGACCGAGACUCAGCCUUGCCUCGGCUCGGUGUACUUCUCGGCCGACGGGUCAGCAUCAAUUUUGCCCCUCGGAUAAUGGCGAGAGAAAGGUGGCACCCUCACGGGUGUGUUAUAGUCUCCCGUCGGAUGCGAGGGUUGGGAUUGAGGAACUCGGCACGUACCGUGCUUAGGAUGUUGGCAUAAUGGCUUUAAACGACCCGUCUUGAAACACGGACCAAGGAGUCUAACAUGCCUGCGAGUGUUUGGGUGGAAAACCCAUGCGCGCAAUGAAAGUGAAAGGUUGAGAUCUCUGUAAAGGGAGAGCAUCGACGCCCAGACCAGACCUUCUGUGACGGAUCUGCGGUAGAGCAUGUAUGUUGGGACCCGAAAGAUGGUGAACUAUGCCUGAAUAGGGUGAAGCCAGAGGAAACUCUGGUGGAGGCUCGUAGCGAUUCUGACGUGCAAAUCGAUCGUCAAAUUUGGGUAUAGGGGCGAAAGACUAAUCGAACCAUCUAGUAGCUGGUUCCUGCC
Molecule: ribosomal RNA, 738 nt
Filed under: uncultured Russula
Lineage: Eukaryota; Fungi; Basidiomycota; Agaricomycetes; Russulales; Russulaceae
Description: partial 28S ribosomal RNA
Rfam family: Eukaryotic large subunit ribosomal RNA
Source: RNAcentral